Long non-coding RNA from Pipistrellus kuhlii (Kuhl's pipistrelle), 343 nucleotides. RefSeq lists it as uncharacterized. NCBI's taxonomy places the organism in Eukaryota, Metazoa, Chordata, Mammalia, Chiroptera, Vespertilionidae. The record is from RefSeq and is a predicted model, not a curated record. The transcript is spliced from 3 exons.
GUGGAAAUGCCGGGGAAUCAAACCAUGAUCCUCCUCAACCAGACAACCCUGGAAUUCGGAAACAGUGGCAUGAAGAUGUUUCUCAAUAUCGUCGAGAAGAGCUUGUUCACAAACUUGUUCAAGCCAUAUUUCCUGUUCCGGAUCCUGCUGCUUUAGAAGACCCACGGAUGGAAAACACAAUUGCAUAUGCCCGGAGAGAGGAAGGGGACGCGUAUGAAUCUGCAAAUAGUCGCGAGGAAUACGAACACCUGCUAUCUGAGAAGAUCAGUAGAAUCCGGGAAGAAGAAGAAGAAAGACGAAUGACAAGGCUACGGAUACUAAACAUGCCACCAAAUGCUGCAGG